CCUGGUGGUGCAGUGGUUAAGCAUUCAGCUGGUAACUGAAAGGUCGGUGGUUCAAACCCACCCAGCAGUU
This 70-nucleotide transfer RNA is filed under the name Loxodonta africana (African savanna elephant). It matches the Rfam family "tRNA". From Rfam's summary of the family: Transfer RNA (tRNA) molecules are approximately 80 nucleotides in length. Lineage: Eukaryota; Metazoa; Chordata; Mammalia; Proboscidea; Elephantidae. The record is from Rfam by way of RNAcentral.